UACAGAGGGGGCAAGCGUUGUUCGGAAUUACUGGGCGUAAAGGGCGCGUAGGCGGCCUUCUAAGUCGAACGUGAAAUCCCCGGGCUCAACCCGGGAACUGCGUCCGAUACUGGAAGGCUAGAAUCCGGGAGAGGGAUGCGGAAUUCCAGGUGUAGCGGUGAAAUGCGUAGAUAUCUGGAGGAACACCGGUGGCGAAGGCGGCAUCCUGGACCGGUAUUGACGCUGAGGCGCGAAAGCUAGGGGAGCAAACGGG
Molecule: ribosomal RNA, 253 nt
Filed under: uncultured bacterium
Lineage: Bacteria
Description: partial 16S ribosomal RNA
Rfam family: Bacterial small subunit ribosomal RNA
Source: RNAcentral